GGAAGCCAUACCUCAUGUUGUUGCUUAACCAUGCCAGCCACUAAGGAUGGAGGAGGGCUGCACUGUGCUAAACGCUGAGGGUUGUACUAAGUGGAGAAUCCAAAUUGGACUGGGUGUCCUGUUCUUUCCCAUGGCCCUUAGGAUAACUUUGGAAAUAGUUCUGGCCAGCAGCACCCAUGGGCAGAAUGUCUGUCAGUUUCACGCCUGGCAUGAUAUGCUCGGGGGUUUUGUGCCUAACCACUGGCCAUGGAUACAAGGGGAGUUCAUUAGUGCCAAGUCAGAGCUGCUUGCCCAAGCUGCGGUUCACCCAUGUGUGUAAGUUCUCUUUUGGAGCUGGGCACAAAUAGAAGAUGAGAAUGUAUGCUUCUGACAUCCACAAACAGAGCCCUGCUUGCUGAUGGGCAGCCAGAAGUGCGCUGUUCUGUACAGGAAAACCCAGAUGUCAAUAUAUCAACUAGACAGAAGAAAAUUACGUGGGUACGUUCCUAUAACACAGUGAAAGAGACAGAAAGACUGAAGCUGCUCAGGAUGACCAUCCAGCUGAGGCUGCAGAUUGCCUUGUGGAUUCAGAGGACUCUGUCCCUCAGUCAGUUCUCUGGCCGAAAUGGAGCUUCAUCCAGAAUCAAAGAUGGCAGAUUGACAUAGUUUUCUAUGAAAACUGAUAACAAAACACCACAGAAUUCCAGUACUUAAAGCACUGCAUAGAGUUGAGGGAAAGCUUGAGAGACGUGAUGUCUUUUAUGACUCAUAACCAAUAAUGUGACUACCUUCUUCUUGUGAAGCUGUCCUCGGGGCAGUUCCUCAGAAGGAGGGCAUGGUUUUACAUGAGAAGAUGUGGCCUCCAAAGGAAAAAUGUAUAGAAUUACAGAAAAUCAAUUGAAAAUACAAAAUAUAUUUUGUCUUCUGAGAAUAAAUAAAAGAAAAA
RNAcentral lists this long non-coding RNA (925 nucleotides) under Phascolarctos cinereus (koala). Its description in RNAcentral is "lncRNA (ENSPCIG00000000599.2)". The record is from RNAcentral. Lineage: Eukaryota; Metazoa; Chordata; Mammalia; Diprotodontia; Phascolarctidae.